RNAcentral lists this ribosomal RNA (273 nucleotides) under uncultured bacterium. Its description in RNAcentral is "partial small subunit ribosomal RNA". It matches the Rfam family "Bacterial small subunit ribosomal RNA", at positions 27 to 285 of the family's 1533-position model. The record is from RNAcentral.
GGAAUCAACGCUGGCGGCGUGCCUAACACAUGCAAGUCGAACGCGAAAGUGGAGCAAUCCAUCAGUAGAGUGGCAAACGGGUGAGUAACACGUGGGUGACCUGCCUUCGAGCGGGGGAUAACGGUCCCGAAAGGGACGCUAAUACCGCAUAACAUCCUGCCUUUUAAGAGGUGGAGAUCAAAGCCGGGGAUCGCAAGACCUGGCACUUGAAGAGGGGCCCGCGCCUGAUUAGCUAGUUGGUGGGGUAAUGGCUCACCAAGGCAACGAUCAGUA